UGGCAAGUAGGAAAAGAGCUGCUGCAGGCCAGACAGAAGCAGAGGAUGACUGAGCAGACUGGCAUGUACGACGAGUCUGCACUGAGGAGUCCAGCCAGGGUAACGACAGGAGAUCUGCCACCAAUAUAGUGCCAUUCCACUGACUGCAACAGUGGACAUCUGGAGCGCAUUAAGGCACUAAGGACAUUGGAUCUCCCCAGAGCGCCUGACUGGAUGGGUGGCCCACUGUAUCCCCCUUUCAGCAGCAGGGCCCAGCCCUACCUGAUUGAUAGAGGGAGCCCCACAUGAACACUUAACGCUCACACACACACACACACACACACACACACACACUGACAAAUCCCACACGGUUGACAUACAGCACGGACCAUUGUAACACUGCUGCUGCUGCUAACAAGGAUUAGUAUGGACACGUGUACUUCCACCUUUCACCGUGUAAAGUUUGGCCUAUCAAUCAUGCAUUGGGUCCUUGAUAUACUUAAUGUGCUGUACAUUCCUACCAUGUUAACCCACAUAUUACACAUGAAUUACGCAGGGGCAGAGCAGGGGUGGCUUCAGGUUUCAGCCCUGAAUGUUUUCUCAAAAGUCCAGAAUCUUUUAGGCUGUUAAAAUAACUUCAACUUUGUGUCAUAUCCCCUCGGUCUCUCUGACCGGACCACAGCAAAAGUUCUAUCACUGGGGAAAUAUCACCAGCUAAACUAGCUAUUCAGCCAUUUCUGCUGUGAACUCUACUCUUGCCCUUCCUAAGUCCCGCCCCUUUUUGCUUUGUGCUCCAAUAACAGUUGAGCCUUGGUCAGAACCUCAGUCAAUCUCCUCCUUUCCUGUACUUAGAUACGCUAUGUGCUGGGCUCGUCUCUGUUGAAAAGAUAAACUCAUUUUGAACAUAUUCAUGAGAUAAAAGCCACAUAUAUACUGUUAGCUAACUAGCUUGCUAAUCCACACCAACGUUAGCUAGCUAGUUAGGUAGAGUUUUGACUAACGUUAGCUAUUAGAGGUAACUAGCGAGUUAGCUAACUUAGGAUGUGACUUUAUACUGUAAAUGUUGCUUUUAUCUUUACAUCAUCUUCAGAAUUUGGUUGUCUUAGCGUCCAAUGCAUUACAUUUACCUCGGAAGUCUGACGUCGGAGAUGGGAAUGUCAUCACACCUCAGUUGGCCACGGUCGCGUACAAGACGGAAAACCAAGCUCUAGCCAUUAGCCAUUAAUAGCAAUACCAGUUGAUAACAACACUUUUCACUGUACUUUGCUCAUACCAACAUGUCCGCACACAGAAGUUGGACAGUCCAUUCUUAUGAUAGUAGGAGAGGAGAAAGUUGACCGAGGUUCUUUCUCAAAUAAUGUACAGACUGUAAGGCAUUCUAUUAUCUCAACUGGCUUGAUAUACAGUAUAUCUGUCGUAAAUGGGAAAAAAACAUGCUCCCAGACACCCCGAGGUUUGAGCUAAUGUUCAUAAAGUCUGCCUCCGCCCCUGGAAUUUAGAGCUAGCAUACUGCCUCUGUUGUCAUCAAUAAACACAAACUGGCAUGGUUUGAAUGUAAGUAAGAACUCCGGACAUAUGGAAGUAAUAUGGGAAUAUGAAUACAACUCUGAACUUCAUUGACAACAUGCAAUUUCCUCAGUGUCUGAAGAUUUCCAAAGCAUUCCCCAACACCUCAUUCACACAAAUGAAGAUGGGAAUCAAAGCCCAUCUUGUUUCUCAGAAUUGUACUUUUUCAUUAAAGCGUGGAAUAGACUUUUCUUUAUGAUUUCUUUUUCUGCAGAUGCUCCCCAUGCAAUGGGAAAACACAAACUUUUUCAAAGGAGGAAAGUUCAAAGAACCUCCUCAUUUCCAGUAAAUUGCUUUGCCUGAUUUGCCAUUUCAAAUAAAUUGCCGUGUUGGCCAAAAUUUGCAAUUCACAGGAAGUCGUCCCCUCAGCCGCACAGAAGAAGUUAAUCCAUAUUUCACGUUUGAAUAUAAGAUGGAAGCAGAGAAAAAAGGGGAAGGAAAGGGGAGAUAGGUAACUCCUUGCCAGGAGAUGAGGAGCGGAAAAGGAGGGGUGGCGGGAGAAGCUGUGGGAGUGGAGAAAAGGCGAGAGAAUGGGAAGAAACAGGCGCCAUUUAGAGUAAAUGGCAUCCAAAAACCCUCUCCAAUUAUCUUUGCCUACCAUGCCAGUGAGACUGACUUAAUUAAAACGACUUGAGAGGGAGGGGAGAGAGGAAGGAACUGCCAGUGAUUGAGGGGGCAGGCAGGCGACGUAUCUGCACCGAAACACAAAGCUCAGGCAUCGCACAGGCUGCCGACCACUCUCCCUUUUCAAUUCCCGACUUCAAAAGAGAAUAAAGAAAUAAUAAUAAAAAAGAGAGGGGGCUCUCACCAUUCGCAGCCAUGUAAUUGCGCUAUUUAAUUCCUACAUUUUUAUCAUUGUUGGAAUAUUGGUUGGGGGGGAAAGAGGAAUGUAUAAAAAUGGAUAAUAAAACAGCUUUUUUUUUGUUCUUGUCUGACUCCCCCCCCCCAUAAUCCUUCUGCCUUUUUCUGAGAAAAAACCUCUGACAGUGACCUUUUCGCAUGAGGUCUGUUUCUAUGGAAACCACGUCCUGCCCCUCUAUGUUUGGUGUUUUCCUGUCAUCGGGUGGGCAAAACUGGCCCACUUGUGACUAAGAGGAAGAAUGCAUCACAUUUAAAGAUUUGUGUGUUUCUUUUAUUUCAUGUUUCCACUCGUGUGUAUCUGCAGUCCUGGGCAGAGGCAGAAAAAGCUGUAAAGAUGGGAAAUUUUGCAGACAAUAUGACCUUUGGCAACAUGAUUUCUGUUUUUGACUUGUGCACUAGAUUGCAGAAAAAAUAAACCUCAAAGCAUCAACUCACCUGAGUCAAUUUCAAGAUGCAGCUGAGGUAUUUAACGUUUUAGAGGUUAGUAACUACCAGAUUUGUUCAAAAUUAAUUCUAAAUCAUUA
Dicentrarchus labrax (European seabass) is the source of this 2930-nucleotide long non-coding RNA. RefSeq lists it as uncharacterized. Lineage: Eukaryota; Metazoa; Chordata; Actinopteri; Moronidae. The record is from RefSeq and is a predicted model, not a curated record. The transcript has 3 exons.